This 1716-nucleotide long non-coding RNA is filed under the name Marmota monax (woodchuck). Lineage: Eukaryota; Metazoa; Chordata; Mammalia; Rodentia; Sciuridae. The record is from RNAcentral.
AAAAUGUGCUGUUUUGAAUUGAGUUAAAUUGAGUUGAGAUGGCCCUGGCCCACCCCUGGGUGCCAGGGCAGGGGGAGGGAGCUAGGGAAGUGCCUGGAGCUGAGGUGGUUCCCAUUAGUCCUCAUGAUUAAUUCACAGCCACACUGUGAUGGAGUGGGCUUGUCCCCAGUCAGCGCCUCCGCUGGGGCCCACCUGUUAGCGACAAACAAACAAAGGGGAUAAAUAAUGCAUUGGGAGCUGAGCCAGGCAAGGCGGCAGUAUUGAAAUUAAUAGGGAUUAGCUGAGCAGCUUGAGGAUGAAAUAUUUACCAGGUGGGACUGGGCUUAGGAAGGGCAGCCACCCCCCUUCCCAGCAUCCCUAAGGCCCUUCUCCAGGACCUCAUUGGCUAGGACUGGCCAGCACCACCACUCCCACUCCUGCUACCUCCGUUUGCAGGACAGGCUGAGCAGACCACUGAGAGCUUAAGUCAGGCAGUCUCCUGGCACAGUGAGUCCUGGGGGAGCCGAGAUGCUAGGAGGGAAUGGAGGGGAAACAGAGGAAGCCUUGAGCACUUAUGCUGGAGACAAGGACUGGGUUUGAUUUUCAGAGCCUGGGUGUGUGGCAGCUGUGAGCAACAAAUGACAGGGCUAGAGGUGAUACACUUGCGAUCUUGCCCCUCUGUCCUCUGUCUCUUCCUGCAAGCCUUCCUUUCCUUGACUCUACAUACUUCCCGAGAGCCUUUGUAUAGAUAACCCCUCAGGGGGGCUGUGGUCUAGCAGGAGGUGACAAAGUAGUGAUGACAGGGGGCUCUCUGGGUUCUGAGGGAACACAGGGAAGAGAGGCCAAGGUAAAAAACAGGGUCAAGAGCAGCACCAGGGGUACAUUGGGGGAGUGUCCCAGGCAGAAGGAAGAGCACGUGAAAGUCAAGAGGCAGAGGAGCCUGAACUUGGCUGUAGGACAGGAGAGUGGAAAAGAUGAAGCCCGAGCCGUCAACAGGGCCAGGUCUCCGGACCUCAUCAGGGAUCUUGGGUGCUGUCCUGGGAGCAGUAAGGAGUCAUGGAAGGUGGUGGUUGUUUCCAUUCUUGAUUCUUAAGCUCUUUGCAGAGAAGUGUCUGUAUACCCCUAACAUCACCUUCCCUGAAGUUAACAUCUUGCAUCAUCAAAGUGCAACUGUCAGCACCAGGAGAUAACACUGGCUCUAUAUUAUUGAUGACACUGAAGGCCUUGUUUAAAUUUCACCAUGGUUUCCAUUAAUGUCCCUUUUCUGCUCUAGGAUCAUAUAAGAGUUUUAAGACAGGGAGUCAAAUGACCAGAUUCAUAGUUUAAAGGACACCAUUUUGGAGAGAGUAGCAGUAGCACUGUUGUCACUUGGAUGAAAGAGGAUGUGGCCUGCGCCAUGAUGAUGUAGUGGGAAUCUAGGUUUCGAAAUUAUUCGAAAUUUUAUGGUCACUAAAGCCUCAGGAUGGAUGAGGUUAUUAUCCAGGGAGAGUAGAGAUGGAAAAGGGGUGAGGGCCUGUGUCCUCUGAACAUCACCACACCUGGGGAAUGACCUGAAGGGGAGGAGUGUUCACAGGAACCUGGAGGAUUGGGAUGGAAAGGGAGGUUGUUGUCUCUGAAGCCAAGGGAGUGUGAGCUUCAAGGAGGGAGCAGUCCGCGUGUCACCAGCCCCCGUGUCACCAGCCCCUGUGUCACCAGCCCAGGGGAGUAGUAAGGCUCAUGAGAGAAGGUGGCUUUGGU